GUGCUCCCAUGGCAACUAAUGCCACCCAGCACUAGCCACCACUAGAUCCCACCCCGUGGUGGCUGAAGAUGACAACAUCACCCAUAUAGCCAUGUAUACAGAUGAUGGCAGCCCAGCUGGUAUGCGGUGACUAAUGAAGCCACCAAGGGAGCUUAGGUACAGGGUCCUGGUUUGGUACCUGUCUGAAGAACCACCUUUCUGCUCUGUGGGGAAUCACUGGCACAGUGAAAGGUCUGAGAAAGAGACAGGGAGUCAGGACUUCCACCUAUUUAUGCAGCGAAAAGCAAACAGAAGUCCUCAAUGUGCUUUAAUGACGUCAUUGCACAGGCCAGCAGCUCUAGCAUGAAACUUUCCUCUGCAAAGCAAAUUGAGUUGCAGAGACUUACUCAUCUUCCCCAACUUCACGUGCUUUAAGAUUUCCAUAAAGCCGAGAACAUCUGUAUGAAGACUCUGUCCUUGAUGGAGAUAACUGUCAACACCAAGUCACAUGUUAUUCCACAUGAGGACAGGCACUGUCAUCUUAAUCCAGUUUUGUAUACCACAAAUUGAUUUCUCUGCAGGAGAGGAA
This is a non-coding RNA of Cyanistes caeruleus (blue tit), 568 nucleotides long. NCBI's taxonomy places the organism in Eukaryota, Metazoa, Chordata, Aves, Passeriformes, Paridae. The record is from RefSeq and is a predicted model, not a curated record.